CAGUAGCCGCGGUAAUACGUAGGGGGCGAGCAUUGUCCGAAGUUACUGGGCGUAAAGAGCGCGUAGGCUGGUCUUUAAGUGAGUGGUGAAAGGUUCGGGCUCAACCCGGACACUGCCUUUCAUACUGGGGACCUUGAGUGUGGGAGAGGCGAGUGGAAUGGUCGGUGUAGCGGUGAAAUGCGUAGAUAUCGAUCGGAACACCCAUGGCGAAGGCAGCUCGCUGGCCUAACACUGACGCUGAGGCGCGAAAGCGUGGGGAGCAAACAGGAUUAGAUACCCCGGUAGUCCCUGUCUCUUAUAC
RNAcentral lists this ribosomal RNA (301 nucleotides) under uncultured bacterium. RNAcentral describes it as "partial 16S ribosomal RNA". It matches the Rfam family "Bacterial small subunit ribosomal RNA", at positions 509 to 807 of the family's 1533-position model. The record is from RNAcentral.